GGGGAGAUACCAAAGUGGCCAACUGGGGUAGACUGUAAAUCUAUUGGCUUCGCCUUCGUAGGUUCGAAUCCUGAUCUCCCCA
This 82-nucleotide transfer RNA is filed under the name Bacteroidales bacterium. RNAcentral describes it as "tRNA-Tyr". It matches the Rfam family "tRNA". Rfam says of the family: Transfer RNA (tRNA) molecules are approximately 80 nucleotides in length. Their secondary structure includes four short double-helical elements and three loops (D, anti-codon, and T loops). The record is from RNAcentral. Lineage: Bacteria; Pseudomonadati; Bacteroidota; Bacteroidia; Bacteroidales.